AGCAGUCGCCGCGGUAACACAGAGGGUGCGAGCGUUAAUCGGAUUUACUGGGCGUAAAGCGUGCGUAGGCGGCUUUUUAAGUCGGAUGUGAAAUCCCUGAGCUUAACUUAGGAAUUGCAUUCGAUACUGGGAAGCUAGAGUAUGGGAGAGGAUGGUAGAAUUCCAGGUGUAGCGGUGAAAUGCGUAGAGAUCUGGAGGAAUACCGAUGGCGAAGGCAGCCAUCUGGCCUAAUACUGACGCUGAGGUACGAAAGCAUGGGGAGCAAACAGGAUUAGAUACCCCCGUAGUCCCUGUCUCUUAUAU
RNAcentral lists this ribosomal RNA (303 nucleotides) under uncultured bacterium. RNAcentral describes it as "partial 16S ribosomal RNA". It matches the Rfam family "Bacterial small subunit ribosomal RNA", at positions 507 to 809 of the family's 1533-position model. The record is from RNAcentral.